RNAcentral lists this ribosomal RNA (373 nucleotides) under uncultured organism. RNAcentral describes it as "partial 16S ribosomal RNA". It matches the Rfam family "Bacterial small subunit ribosomal RNA", at positions 527 to 896 of the family's 1533-position model. The record is from RNAcentral.
GUAGGUGGCAAGCGUUGUCCGGAAUUAUUGGGGCGUAAAGCGCGCGCAGGCGGUUCUUUAAGUCUGAUGUGAAAGCCCACGGGCUCAACCGUGGAGGGUCAUUGGAAACUGAGAACUUGAGUACGGAAGAGGAAAGCGGAAUUCCACGUGUAGCGGUGAAAUGCGUAGAGAUGUGGAGGAACACCAGUGGCGAAGGCGGCUUUCUGGUCUGUAACUGACGCUGAGGCGCGAAAGCGUGGGGAGCAAACAGGAUUAGAUACCCUGGUAGUCCACGCCGUAAUCGAUGAGUGCUAAGUGUUAGGGGGUUUCCGCCCCUUAGUGCUGCAGCUAACGCAUUAAGCACUCCGCCUGGGGAGUACGGCCGCAAAGGCUG